This 229-nucleotide ribosomal RNA is filed under the name uncultured bacterium. RNAcentral's name for it is "partial 16S ribosomal RNA". It matches the Rfam family "Bacterial small subunit ribosomal RNA", at positions 568 to 796 of the family's 1533-position model. The record is from RNAcentral.
UACGUAGGCGGAAUAUUAAGUCAGUGGUGAAAUCCUGCGGCUCAACCGUAGAACUGCCAUUGAUACUGAUAUUCUUGAAUAUAGUUGAGGUAGGCGGAAUGUGUAAUGUAGCGGUGAAAUGCUUAGAUAUUACACAGAACACCGAUUGCGAAGGCAGCUUACUAAACUAUUAUUGACGCUGAGGUACGAAAGCGUGGGGAGCGAACAGGAUUAGAUACCCUGGUAGUCC